This 879-nucleotide long non-coding RNA is filed under the name Homo sapiens (human). RNAcentral describes it as "HSALNT0368201". The record is from RNAcentral. Lineage: Eukaryota; Metazoa; Chordata; Mammalia; Primates; Hominidae.
CCUCGCUGUCUGUCUGGCCCACAGGGAGCCGAGGCCGAGGCCGAGCCCGGCCGGGCAGGAGGGGCGGGCAGGGUGCUCAGGGGCCCCGAAGGGUCUGGGCUGACGAGAAGGGUCUCCCGCUCUCCCAGGGAAACGGGAGCGAGGAGUGGGCUUCCAUGAAAACUGGCAGAUUGGAGAGAGGUCGGAGACCGCCACCCGAUCUUGGGCAAGGAUAAGGGAAGCUGGGGAGACAACAGUCUCUGGGCAGAACCUUCGACAACCCUCAGGCUGACCCAGAAAAGUAGACAAGGCGGUUUGGGAAGACAUGUCAGCCAGAAGAAAGAGCGAGGGAAGAAAGACAAGAAGGACCUGAGAUAGAGUUUCGGUUUUCCUUUUUUUCUCUCUCUCUUUAUUAAGCCCAACCUGCCUUCUACAACGGAGAAGUUUUGGUUUUCUAAGAGCUGAUGGACUUAGAAGCAUUUGGAUGAACAGCUCUGCUUACCAACUGAAAUAUCCCUAUUAUCUUCUAAAAGUGGAGCACUGCUUUGAGCCCUGGGAAGGCUUAAAGGCAACCAGCUCUCCCGAGUUGAUUUAUCAGCAGAAAACUGAUGGAAUGUAGAUGUAGCUCCUGACUUUAAGAGACCACAAUGGAAGGGAGGUUAUUUUCUAUCAUUUGAGGUCAUGUGAAAGAGAGGAGGAAAAGGGAAAGAGUUCGUGUAGCCAGACUUCGUUACUUCACUUACCCUAACUUCACCUUGAUCCUAGUUUCAGCCUCUCUGAAGACUUACAAAUCUGGUAGACCCGAGAGCAGGGCCUAUGGGAAGGUCUAGCUCGAAACAGUGUGGGCGAGCAGGAGGUACUGGAGAGAAGGCCACACUGUGGUUGAAAAAAAAAAAAACC